GACGAACGCUGGCGGUGUGCUUAACACAUGCAAGUCGAACGGUAAGGCCCUUUGGGGUACACGAGUGGCGAACGGGUGAGUAACACGUGGGUGAUCUGCCCUGCACUUCGGGAUAAGCCUGGGAAACUGGGUCUAAUACCGGAUAGGACUCCGGACUGCAUGGUCUGGGGUGGAAAGCUUUUGCGGUGUGGGAUGGGCCCGCGGCCUAUCAGCUUGUUGGUGGGGUGAUGGCCUACUAAGGCGACGACGGGUAGCCGGCCUGAGAGGGUGACCGGCGACACUGGGCCUGAGAUACGGCCCAGACUCCUACGGGAGGCAGCAGUGGGGAAUAUUGCACAAUGGGCGCAAGGCUGAUGCAGCGACGCCGCGUGAGGGAUGACGGCCUUCGGGUUGUAAACCUCUUUCAGCAUCGACGAAGCGAAAGUGACGGUAGGUGCAGAAGAAGGACCGGCCAACUACGUGCCAGCCGCCGCGGUAA
This 478-nucleotide ribosomal RNA is filed under the name uncultured bacterium. RNAcentral's name for it is "partial 16S ribosomal RNA". It matches the Rfam family "Bacterial small subunit ribosomal RNA", at positions 28 to 523 of the family's 1533-position model. The record is from RNAcentral.